CCCUUAGAUGUUCUGGGCCGCACGCGCGCUACACUGAUGCAUUCAACGAGUAAUCUUUGACCUUGGUCGACAGAUCUGGGUAAUCUUUUGAAAUUGCAUCGCGAUGGGGCUUGCGGGUUGCAAUUACCCGCACCAACGAGGAAUUCCUAGUAAACGCAAGUCAUCAACUUGCAUUGAUUACGUCCCUGCCCUUUGUACACACCGCCCGUCGCUCCUACCGAUUGAGCGGUCCGGUGAAGACUCAGGAGAUGGGCGCGUGCUUGGUUCGCCAACUGCGCUGCCUGCCAAAUUUGUCUAAACCUUAUCGCUUAGAGGAAGGAGAAGUCGUAACA
RNAcentral lists this ribosomal RNA (332 nucleotides) under uncultured eukaryote. RNAcentral's name for it is "partial 18S ribosomal RNA". It matches the Rfam family "Eukaryotic small subunit ribosomal RNA", at positions 1470 to 1796 of the family's 1831-position model. The record is from RNAcentral.